GACGAACGCUGGCGGCGUGCUUAACACAUGCAAGUCGAACGAAGAGCGAUGGAAGCUUGCUUCUAUCAAUCUUAGUGGCGAACGGGUGAGUAACGCGUAAUCAACCUGCCCUUCAGAGGGGGACAACAGUUGGAAACGACUGCUAAUACCGCAUACGAUCUAAUCUCGGCAUCGAGGAUAGAUGAAAGGUGGCCUCUACAUGUAAGCUAUCACUGAAGGAGGGGAUUGCGGUUGAUUAGCUAGUUGGAGGGGUAACGGCCCACCAAGGCGAUGAUCAGUAGCCGGUCGGAGAGGAUGAACGGCCGCAGUGGGACGGAGACACGGCCCAGACUCCUACGGGAGGCAGCCGUGGGGAAUCUUGCGCAAUGGACGAGAGUCUGACGGAGCAACGCCGCGUGAGUGAUGACGGCCUUCGGGUGGGAAAGCUCUGUUAAUCGGGACGAAAGGCCUUCUUGCGAACAGUUAGAAGGAUUGACGGUACCGGAAUAGAAAGCCACGGCUAACUACGUG
Molecule: ribosomal RNA, 510 nt
Filed under: uncultured bacterium
Lineage: Bacteria
Description: partial 16S ribosomal RNA
Rfam family: Bacterial small subunit ribosomal RNA
Source: RNAcentral